ACACGAGAGGGAAGUGAGUGGCUGCCUCGUGGGAAAGUCCAGGUGUAGGCUCAGGAGGGUGUGAUGCUCUGCUGGGUCAGGCACCCAGGGGUGACGUCGUGGCCUCACUCAGGGCAGGGUCUCAGCCUCGGCUCAAGGUGGUGGCCGCUGCAUUCCAGGCUGCAGGAUGGAGAAUGACAAAGGGCACGCUCCAAUGAUCUCAUAGAGAAGAUUUCUGGAAGCUGCUCUAUUUCCACUUAUAUCUCAAUGGCCAGACCUUGGACACACCUAGCUGCAAAGGGUCCUGGAAAGGUCAUCUUUCUUCCGGUAGACAGGCUCAUAUUCCUCAAGAGUGGAGCCAGACACUAAAGACUAGGACGUUCAAACCGUUGCACACCAGGGAAAUUAGGAAGUGACUGUGUGUGCCCAGGGAAAGGCAGCGACUCAGAAAACACCUGAGAAAACCUCAAGCUGACAAGCUGACGCCUCGGGCCCAUCCUCAGCACAGCCUGCGACAAUCAAAACCACAGAAACACGACACGAGACAGCAAACCCCACGGAGGGGAGGAUCUGAUUUCCAGAGUUACCACCUCGUUAGCUUCAAGGGUCCAGAUUUCAACUAAAAAUCACAAGGCACACAAAGAAACAGGAAAUAUGGCCUGUUGCAAGGAAAAGCUAACUCAACAGAGCUGUCCCUGAAAACGGCCGGAUGGCAGACCUACCAGACCAAGACUUUAAACACCUGCCUUAAACGAGCUCACAGAACUCAGGAAGAUGUGGAACCGUCUUCACGAUAUUGUUUCCCCAAGUGCACAGUCCAUUCUAAAUACCAAUCCACGUGGUAUACAGUCGUUCAUCUGAUAGAAAUUUGUUGAACAUCUGUCUCAAGAAAUGCUACUUUCUUUACUCAGAAUAAAAUGUGACGUUUCUGGAGGCCAGGAGGCUGCAGGUUCGGUUACUCAGACUCCGACCCUGCGAUGCGCAUCCCUGGUUCCUUUGCUGAGUCCACUCCCGCCUUUCUGCCGGCGUGAGGAGGUCCUUGCUCUCCACCACGCCUUCACCAGGCCUGAGUCGAGCCCGGUGGUUCU
RNAcentral lists this long non-coding RNA (1067 nucleotides) under Equus caballus (horse). RNAcentral's name for it is "lncRNA (ENSECAG00000056948.1)". The record is from RNAcentral. Lineage: Eukaryota; Metazoa; Chordata; Mammalia; Perissodactyla; Equidae.